Erinaceus europaeus (western European hedgehog) is the source of this 138-nucleotide non-coding RNA. Lineage: Eukaryota; Metazoa; Chordata; Mammalia; Eulipotyphla; Erinaceidae. The record is from Rfam.
UUGGAUUUGAACCAAUGCUAGCACCCAAUCUGCUGUUGGUUUCAAGCAGUGGCCUAAAGAAAUGUCUUUCUAUGGCCUGUUGGUCAUUUCACAACUUUGAUAAUGUAAUGGUUAGAAGAUAGAUUAAAAAAAAUAUAU